AUGUCAAGACAUGACUUUUGCUUUCAAACACAAGAGGUGGAGACAGACUUGUUGGCAGAUUUCUGUUGUAAUUUGCUAUGUGAGACCCUCUGGAGGGAUUGUGCGGAGGCCUAUGGAUUCAUAAAAAAAACAGAAUCGGAUCACAGAUGGACUGAGGACCUGUCUUUGAGAAGUACUGGACCCAAGAAGCAUGGUAAGUUUGACUUUUAUUACUAGCUGCCUUGGCCCACUAGUGAACAACUUCUAGACUUAGCCUUUUAAGUUUCUUCUAACGCACUUUAAGAUUGCAUAGCCAGUUACAGCCCAGCACAUAUAGGUUGACAGGAUUCUUAUUUUCUUCCCUUCUAACUUCUUGGGUGGUUACCAUUUUACUUACCUCAGGUAAUCCUCAAAUAGCCUUUGAAUACAAGUGUUCCACAGUAGGAUAACUAUGGUUGACAACAUUGUUUUUGUUUUACUUAUUCCAAAAACAAAUCAAUUAAAUUUAUUUAUUUGAGAUUAGAGAGACAGGGAGAGAAAGAAAGACCUCCCAUCUUCUGAUUCACUUCCCAAAUGCUUGCAGCAGCCAGGACUAGACUGGGCUGAAGUUGGGAGCCAGGAUUUUUCAUUUCAUGUGGGUGGCAGGAACCCAACAACUUAACCCAUCAUCUGCUGCCUCUCAGGACCCAUAUUAGCAGGAAGCUAGAAUCAGGAGUGGAGCUGUGUAUUGAACCCAGGAACUCUAACAUAGGUCCAGGGUUGUUUUAAUAAGAGUCUUCACUACGGGGCCAUAUGUCCACCUCCAAAUUUGUUUUUUGAACACUCAGGUCACCAGAUUAUGACAGAUGAGAAAGAAGGCACCAAAAUGGCUACUCGCUAAUAGCUGAGAGGAGGCUAAAGUUAUUCUUCUAUACCAAAACAUUGAAACACAAGUAAAAACAUUCACAACACUCUGCGGAGUACAAUAAGUAGCAUUUUUUUGGUGAAUUAUAACCAGUUGCAUAUAAUAAUGUUAAUUGUACCAUACCAUGAACAUCUACAGAAUUACAUGAAAGUGUGAUUAUUACACCAUAUAUUGUACAAAGUGUUGGAGAAGCUCAUGUGUGUUUAAAUGAAAAGAUCUGCAAGAUGACAAUCAUUUUUCAGUGUCUACUACAGGAAAAGUUCCUCUGACUGUCAAAUAUUGUUAUUAUGCAAACUUCUUGAAGAAUCAUAUUAAAACAUAUUAAGAUACAAUAAAUUUCCUUUUUCUCACA
This 1235-nucleotide long non-coding RNA is filed under the name Oryctolagus cuniculus (rabbit). RNAcentral's name for it is "lncRNA (ENSOCUG00000038033.1)". Lineage: Eukaryota; Metazoa; Chordata; Mammalia; Lagomorpha; Leporidae. The record is from RNAcentral.